Molecule: ribosomal RNA, 440 nt
Filed under: uncultured bacterium
Lineage: Bacteria
Description: partial 16S ribosomal RNA
Rfam family: Bacterial small subunit ribosomal RNA
Source: RNAcentral
CCUACGGGUGGCAGCAGUGGGGGAUAUUGCACAAUGGGGGAAACCCUGAUGCAGCGACGCCGCGUGUGGGAAGACGGUCCUCUGGAUUGUAAACCACUGUCCCCAGGGACGAAGAUGACGGUACCUGGGGAGUAAGCUCCGGCAAACUACGUGCCAGCAGCCGCGGUAAUAGGUAGGGAGCGAGCGUUUUCCGGAAUUACUGGGUGUAAAGGGAGCGUAGGCGGGACUGCAAGUUGGGGGUCAAAUCUACCGGUUCAACCUGUAUCUGCACUAAAAACUGCAGUUCUUGAGUGAAGUAGAGGCAGGCGGAAUUCCUAGUGUAGCGGUGAAAUGCGUAGAUAUUAGGAGGAACACCAGUGGCGAAGGCGGCCUGCUGGGCUGUUACUGACGCUGAGGCUCGAAAGUGUGGGGAGCAAACAGGAUUAGAUACCCCUGUAGUC